GCGAACGCUGGCGGCGUGCCUAACACAUGCAAGUCGAACGUGAAAAGGGAAACCUGAGUACAGUGGCGUACGGGUGAGUAACGCGUAGGUAAUCUACCCCAGAAUCUGGAAUAACCUGCCGAAAGGCGGGCUAAUACUGGAUAGAGCGAGGGAACUCGUAAGAGAGUUUUUCGGGAAAGGGAGCCCGCAAGGGCCUUCGUUCUGGGAUGAGCCUGCGUCUCAUUAGCUAGUUGGUAAGGUAACGGCUUACCAAGGCGAUGAUGAGUAGCUGGUCUGAGAGGAUGAUCAGCCACACUGGAACUGAAACACGGUCCAGACUCCUACGGGAGGCAGCAGUGGGGAAUCUUGCGCAAUGGACGAAAGUCUGACGCAGCCACGCCGCGUGAGUGAAGAAGGCCUUCGGGUUGUAAAGCUCUGUCGGAUGGGACGAACAUCUUCAUAGUGAAUAGCUAUGAGGACUGACGGUACCAUCAAAGGAAGCACCGGCUAACUCCGUG
Molecule: ribosomal RNA, 497 nt
Filed under: uncultured bacterium
Lineage: Bacteria
Description: partial 16S ribosomal RNA
Rfam family: Bacterial small subunit ribosomal RNA
Source: RNAcentral